CGAAGGGGCUAGCGUUGCUCGGAAUGACUGGGCGUAAAGGGCGCGUAGGCGGCACCGACAGUCAGGCGUGAAAUUCCUGGGCUUAACCUGGGGGCUGCGUUUGAUACGUCGGAGCUAGAGGAUGGAAGAGGCUCGUGGAAUUCCCAGUGUAGAGGUGAAAUUCGUAGAUAUUGGGAAGAACACCGGUGGCGAAGGCGGCGAGCUGGUCCAUUACUGACGCUGAGGCGCGAAAAGCGUGGGGAGCAAACAGGAUU
This 254-nucleotide ribosomal RNA is filed under the name uncultured bacterium. Its description in RNAcentral is "partial 16S ribosomal RNA". It matches the Rfam family "Bacterial small subunit ribosomal RNA", at positions 527 to 779 of the family's 1533-position model. The record is from RNAcentral.